AGAUUGAGAAAUAAAUGUAGAGAAAUUAACUCAUUUGUCUUCUGUCAGUUAACCAAGUAAACCCUUCAAUGGAGUGAGAGAAGAUUAAUUUAAGGUCAAGCAGAUAUUUAUCAGUGCGAGGCACUGCUCCUGGCAUUCCCAAGAAGUCAAAAGCAGCCGGGGUGUGAAGGAGAUAAGAAAGUAAAAGCCCAACUGCAAUAGAAAAAGCAGAAGAUGUAAGAAUAAUUCCAUGGUACGUACUGGUGAGCUGACGAUGCUGCAAGCAGAUGAAUUAAGUCAUAUACAUAUGGACCUGAGAGGAUAUGGGGAAUGAAGUUCUCAGGGGCAAGUUCAUGUGUGCGACUCCACAGCCUCCCCACAAGCAAUUUCACUUCCUCUGCAUCAGCUCCAGCGAGCCCUGUGUACUGCGUGUGGAGGACUCCCAAGCAGGUGGAUGGAAUGCUUUCCCUGGAGAAAAAGGUACAGGU
This is a long non-coding RNA of Myotis brandtii (Brandt's bat), 467 nucleotides long. RefSeq lists it as uncharacterized. The record is from RefSeq and is a predicted model, not a curated record. Lineage: Eukaryota; Metazoa; Chordata; Mammalia; Chiroptera; Vespertilionidae. The transcript is spliced from 3 exons.